Molecule: long non-coding RNA, 556 nt
Filed under: Ricinus communis (castor bean)
Lineage: Eukaryota; Viridiplantae; Streptophyta; Magnoliopsida; Malpighiales; Euphorbiaceae
Description: long non-coding RNA (RCOM_LNC002395)
Source: RNAcentral
CUCCAUGCUUGAUCGUCAUCUGUAAUUGUGUUUUCAGCAGAAUCUUCCCUGUAUAAUGGUUGCAAUGCAGAUUCUGGUAAUCUGCUUUCUGCUAGGUACUGUUUCAUGGUGAUCAUCUCCAUCUUGUGUUUUCUUUUAUUUUUCUCCAUUUGCUUCUUCAACUUCUCGUUGUCUUGUUGAACUUUGGUAAACUUUUCCUGUAAUUAAAUCAGGAACAAGAACAACAGCAAAUCAGUAAGAAUCUCUUCUUGCAGAAAAUUGCAUCAGGAAGCCCAACAAAUCAGUAAGAAUCUCUUCUUGCACAAACAUUUGACGAAUGAGCCAUUUGUACGGUUAGAUGCCCAAUUAACCCAAAAAAGGAAAAGAAAAGGAAAGUAUUAAUACUUGUGUGCUUCUGUGUAUGUGUACACUUUUAUAUUUCUGUAUGUGUACACUUUUACAUCAAGUGUAAAGUAGGAAACCUGUCUCAUGCUCAAUGUUGUAGCGAAAUCAUGCUGUAAAGAAGUGAUUGAUGAGACAUUAUUAACAGAAUUGUUGCAUUGUAUUUGAAGUUACC